CAUGACUGACCUUAGCCACUCGGAC
RNAcentral lists this microRNA (25 nucleotides) under Equus caballus (horse). Its description in RNAcentral is "eca-miR-8936". Lineage: Eukaryota; Metazoa; Chordata; Mammalia; Perissodactyla; Equidae. The record is from miRBase by way of RNAcentral.